RNAcentral lists this ribosomal RNA (484 nucleotides) under uncultured bacterium. RNAcentral's name for it is "partial 16S ribosomal RNA". It matches the Rfam family "Bacterial small subunit ribosomal RNA", at positions 28 to 523 of the family's 1533-position model. The record is from RNAcentral.
GAUGAACGCUGGCGGCGUGCUUAACACAUGCAAGUCGAACGAUGAAGCCGGAGCUUGCUCUGGUGAAUUAGUGGCGAACGGGUGAGUAACACGUGAGUAACCUGCCCUUGACUCUGGGAUAACUGCUAGAAAUGGUAGCUAAUACCGGAUACGACCCUCGGAGGCAUCUUCAGGGGGUGGAAAGAAUUUCGGUCAAGGAUGGACUCGCGGCCUAUCAGCUAGUUGGUGAGGUAAUGGCUCACCAAGGCGACGACGGGUAGCCGGCCUGAGAGGGUGACCGGCCACACUGGGACUGAGACACGGCCCAGACUCCGACGGGAGGCAGCAGUGGGGAAUAUUGCACAAUGGGCGCAAGCCUGACGCAGCAACGCCGCGUGAGGGAUGACGGCCUUCGGGUUGUAAACCUCUUUUAGUAGGGAAGAAGCGAAAGUGACGGUACCUGCAGAAAAAGCACCGGCUAACUACGUGCCAGCAGCCGCAGUAA